Molecule: ribosomal RNA, 524 nt
Filed under: uncultured bacterium
Lineage: Bacteria
Description: partial 16S ribosomal RNA
Rfam family: Bacterial small subunit ribosomal RNA
Source: RNAcentral
GACGAACGCUGGCGGCGUGCCUAAUACAUGCAAGUCGAACGAAGCUGUUUUAACUGGUGCUUGCACCGACUUAAACAACUGAGUGGCGAACGGGUGAGUAACACGUGGGUAACCUGCCCCAAAGCGGGGGAUAACAUUUGGAAACAGAUGCUAAUACCGCAUAACCACAGAAACCACAUGGUUUCUGUGUCAAAGAUGGUUUCGGCUAUCACUUUGGGAUGGACCCGCGGCGUAUUAGCUAGUUGGUAAGGUAAUGGCUUACCAAGGCAAUGAAACGUAGCCGAACUAAGAGGUUGAUCGGCAACAUUGGGACUGAGACACGGCCCAAACUCCUACGGGAGGCAGCAGUAGGGAAGCUUCCACAAUGGACGAAAGUCUGAUGGAGCAACACCGCGUGAGUGAAGAAGGUUUUCGGAUCGUAAAACUCUGUUGUCAGAGAAGAACGUGUGCGAGAGUAACUGUUCGUGCAGUGACGGUAUCUGGCCAGAAAGCCACGGCUAACUACGUGCCAGCCGCCGCGGUAA